GCUUGUCUCAAAGAUUAAGCCAUGCAAAUGCCAGUAUAAACACGUUUGUACUGUGAAACUGUGAAUGGCUCAUUAAAUCAGUUAUCGUCUACUUGACAGUACCUUACUACUUGGAUAACCGUGGUAAUUCUAGAGCUAAUACAUGCGAAAAGUCCCGACUCACGGAGGGACGUAUUUAUUAGAUACAAAGCCAACCGGGGCAACCCGUUUGCUGGUGAUUCAUAGUAACUCUGCGAAUCGCACGCUCUUGCAGCGGCGAUGAUUCAUUCGAAUUUCUGCCCUAUCAACUUACGAUGGUAAGGUAGUGGCUUACCAUGGUGACCACGGGUAACGGAGAAUUAGGGUUCGAUUCCGGAGAGGGAGCCUGAGAAAUGGCUACCACUUCCAAGGAAGGCAGCAGG
This 401-nucleotide ribosomal RNA is filed under the name uncultured fungus. Its description in RNAcentral is "partial small subunit ribosomal RNA". It matches the Rfam family "Eukaryotic small subunit ribosomal RNA", at positions 30 to 432 of the family's 1831-position model. Lineage: Eukaryota; Fungi. The record is from RNAcentral.